RNAcentral lists this ribosomal RNA (579 nucleotides) under Triticum aestivum (bread wheat). RNAcentral's name for it is "partial small subunit ribosomal RNA". The record is from RNAcentral. Lineage: Eukaryota; Viridiplantae; Streptophyta; Magnoliopsida; Poales; Poaceae.
AUGGAUGAACGUCAAAGUUUCGGACAGAGGCAUCCUGUGCUCGCGGCGGUGCUGCUCGGAUCCGUUGUGCUCGCUGCGACCCUCAUGACCGUCCUCGCCAUCACGCUCGAGUCCACCCCGCCCGAGUUCUCCGCGACCGUCUCCAGCUUCGAUGGCCUCGACCGGCGCGCCGGCGCGCCGCCCACCUUCCACGUCAACCUGCGCGUCAAGAACGGCAACGUGUGGCGGCACUGCUUCGAGCCGGCGGCCGCGGUGGUGGAGUACGACGGCGUGCCCCUCGCCAGCGCCGAUCUCGGCAAGCUCUGCGUCCCGGCACGGAACGUCCUGAACGUGCCCUUCGUGGCCAGCGGCGAGGGGCUGGGGAUGCCCGACCAGCUCUACGAGCGCCUCGACGGCCUCCGCCGGCGGCAGGAGCGCGUGCCGUUGGCGGUGCGGCUGACGCUGGAGGAGAAGGAUACCGUAAAGCAGGUACGGCCCUGGCUGCUGCGGUGCACGGCGAUGCUGGAUGGCCGGCCGGACCUGCCGUCUCGUUGUCUGCUCUUCUUCCUCGUGGAGCCGGGUAAUAGUUACUACAAGUAG